UAAUGAAAAGGAUAAAAACUUGAAAGAAAUGGAAUUACGUUCAUUUGAGAAAUCUCCAUGUGUUGAGCUUGAUGAAGAUGAUUACAAUAUAGAUUUUGUUCCACCUUCUCCAGAAGAAGGAAUGACUUCUGCCUCUUCUUUCUCUUUAAAAUGCUUUAGUAUGUUAAAGGAGCUUGAUGCCUGUGACAGAAAGAAGGAUGGCCUAAGCACGCCAGAGGACUUCUCAAAGCUUGAGAAAAUGCCUGCUCAGCAAUCUAACCACGAAACUGGCACAGACUCUGAUGG
Long non-coding RNA from Molossus molossus (Pallas's mastiff bat), 285 nucleotides. RefSeq lists it as uncharacterized. The transcript is spliced from 2 exons. The record is from RefSeq and is a predicted model, not a curated record. Lineage: Eukaryota; Metazoa; Chordata; Mammalia; Chiroptera; Molossidae.